RNAcentral lists this ribosomal RNA (467 nucleotides) under uncultured bacterium. Its description in RNAcentral is "bacterial SSU rRNA". It matches the Rfam family "Bacterial small subunit ribosomal RNA", at positions 26 to 507 of the family's 1533-position model. The record is from RNAcentral.
AGGACGAACGCUGGCGGCGUGCUUAAAACAUGCAAGUCGAACGGACUUCUCAUGAAGCUUGCGAUUGAGAAGUUAGUGGCGGACGGGUGAGUAACGCGUGGGCAACCUGCCCCUGAGCCCGGGAUAACAGUUCGAAAGGACUGCUAAGACCGGAUAUACUUGCGGUGAAGCAUUUCACUGCAAGGAAAGGGAACGCUCAGGGAUGGGCCCGCGUCCCAUUAGCUAGUUGGUGAGGUAACGGCCCACCAAGGCGACGAUGGGUAGCCGGCCUGAGAGGGUGAACGGCCACACUGGGACUGAGACACGGCCCAGACUCCUACGGGAGGCAGCAGUUGGGAAUCUUCGGCAAUGGGCGCAAGCCUGACCGAGCAACGCCGCGUGAGUGAUGAAGGUUUUCGGAUUGUAAAGCUCUGUCUUCCGGGACGAUAAUGACGGUACCGGAGGGGGAAGCCACGGCUAACUACGUG